RNAcentral lists this ribosomal RNA (253 nucleotides) under uncultured bacterium. RNAcentral describes it as "partial 16S ribosomal RNA". It matches the Rfam family "Bacterial small subunit ribosomal RNA", at positions 524 to 776 of the family's 1533-position model. The record is from RNAcentral.
UACGAAGGGGGCUAGCGUUGCUCGGAAUCACUGGGCGUAAAGCGCACGUAGGCGGAUUGCUAAGUCAGGGGUGAAAUCCUGGAGCUCAACUCCAGAACUGCCCUUGAUACUGGCGGUCUCGAGUCCGGGAGAGGUGAGUGGAACUGCGAGUGUAGAGGUGAAAUUCGUAGAUAUUCGGAGGAACACCAGUGGCGAAGGCGGCUCACUGGUCCGGUACUGACGCUGAGGUGCGAAAGCGUGGGGAGCAAACAGG